AGCUCGUACUCCCCGAAAUGCAUUUAGGUGCAGCGUCGUGGUUAUUGUUAUAGAGGUAGAGCUACUGAUAGGGCUAGGGGGCUUCACCGCCUACCAAACCCUGACAAACUCCGAAUGCUAUAAAAUGUUGUUGAGCAGUGAGGGCAUGGGUGCUAAGGUCCAUGUCCGAGAGGGAAAGAACCCAGAUCAUCAGCUAAGGUCCCCAAGUGUAUGCUAAGUUGACAAAACGCGGUAAAACUGCAUUGACAGCCAGGAUGUUGGCUUGGAAGCAGCCAUUCAUUUAAAGAGUGCGUAACAGCUCACUGGUCGAGCGGUUUUGCAUGGAUAAUAAUCGGGCAUAAGUAUACCACCGAAGCUAUGACUUUGUCUUAUGACAAGGGGUAGGGGAGCAUUCUAUGGGCAUUGAAGGUGCUGGCGUGAGCCGUGCUGGAGCGCAUAGAAACGAAAAUGUAGGCAUAAGUAACGAUAAUGCGGGCGAGAAACCCGCACGCCGAAAGACCAAGGUUUCCCCAGCUAUGCUAAUCAGCUGGGGGUCAGUCGGGACCUAACGCGAACCCGAACGGGGUAGUGGAUGGACAAUCAGUUAAUAUUCUGAUACCUGCUCACAUUAAAAGUGACGGGGAUGAGGCGUUGGUGCGAAGAGACGGAAUUCUUCGUUGAAGGUAGUGGAAGCUACUGAUAGUACACUGAGGCUUCGGCCAAGGUGAUAAUCCAGCUUAUCAUCCUCCAAGAAAAACAAGUGAAGCAGCCCGUACCGUAAACCGACACAGGUGGUUGGGAUGAGUAUUCUAAGGCGCUCGAGUGAUCCGUGGCUAAGGAACUAGGCAAAAUCGCCCCGUAACUUCGGGAGAAGGGGCUCCCCAAUGCAAAUUGGGGACGCAGUUAAAAGGCCCAGGCGACUGUUUAUCAA
Molecule: ribosomal RNA, 910 nt
Filed under: Pteridomonas danica
Lineage: Eukaryota; Dictyochophyceae; Pedinellales
Description: partial Bacterial large subunit ribosomal RNA
Rfam family: Bacterial large subunit ribosomal RNA
Source: RNAcentral